AAAUAUGUAACAAAUCUAUAUUACAAUUUAAUUACUGCGAAAUAUAUGAGAGUUGCGCCUAAUGUAAAAACUGAUGGUCACUUAACUUUUUAUUGUUUUUGCCCUCUUUCAUGCAUGUUCUCUCUAAGAACUGUUUUUUUUUUUGCCUGGCGUUUUGUAAACAACUGAUCCAAGGAUGGUUGUUUUUGUCGGCUUUUAACAAUCCUUUGAAAAUGUCCAAGGCAAACAUCAUCAAUGUGAGCGAUCGCCGGACCGGUGAACUUUUUCUGGGUUAUUCACAUUUACGUAAAACGAUCGGAACCCCUCAUGGCGAAGGAUGAGGACGCGGCAUAGACACAGGUUUAUCUGUGUAUCCAUCUAUCUCCACAAAUAGACACAUGCGGUAAGAGGUCCCUCUUAAGCCAAUGGGAUGCCAGGAUGAUGCUGGGUAGUAGCCAAUGGAAGAGCAGCUCUAAGUAUGUUGCGUUCAGGAAACUCGGAGUUCCGAUUUGCAGCCCACACUGUAUUUUUACCUUUUCGAGCUUGAAAUUUCUUCUGUAACAAGAUUCAACAUUUUCCUAUUGAGGCGUUUCGUAAAUUGAAAUUUUUGUAUGAAGAGACGUUCGUAAGUAGAGGCACCAUUGUACCUGAUCAUCUUUUCUCUGGACCUCUAAUUCACGGGGAUCUAAAAGAAGGAAUGCCCUUCAACGUAAGAGGUGGUAAAAGAAGGCCACUAAAAGACAUACACUGCAAGUAUUAUGCACCCCAGUAUGACAAUGGCAGAGUUGCAUUGAAAGCAGCAAUAAAAUCAACACAUACAUUUGGUACCAUUUUUUUCUCACAUUUUACAAUUCUUUUACUUUAUGACAACUUGCACUGUAUAUUUAUUUCUGACUUGGCCCGUGGAGGAGACAUGUCUCCUUCCGGACCCUGAUUGGCAGGCGAACGAUGUUCCGAAUUUUGCAAGGGUCAUUGAUCAUCACUUGAGCCAGAACGUCUCCGAGCACGCCUAGAACUACAUCACAAAGUGGGAUAUAUCAAACUUAACUUGGACUCACUCCUUCCUCCCCUACUGGGAUGAGCAAAAAGUUCAAGCAAACAUUCUGAACAUGACAAUAGUUCUUCUGUUUUUGAAAAUAAACAUCUAUGAUGGAUGAGUUCCAGGCAAAGCAAUUUACAUGAGCGAUUUGAAGAUCCUCUUAGUGGUGAAAAUGCAAAGUGAACGUGCUGCGUGCAAGUGUGGGCCUACGUUUUUCUUUUAUGUGCGGCUGCCGCCUCGCUCUUUGAGAAAGUAAAUUGGAAAUCGGUUUGAACUCAAACACUGCGUGCCAUGACAAUAUGUGGAAAAGGGAGACUUCACCCUCUAACAACAUCGCCCCCCCGCCCUAAUCCCCUCUCGGGCGACAUGAUCAGUUAAUGUGUUUGUUGCGUGUGUGUGUGUGUGUGUGUAGCUGGCUCCCUCACCCUAUGACCUUGCAGCCACACGCAAUGAGGAUACGCAGUGAGAGCGCUCGCAUGUCUGAGGUCACAAACACGCAGCCUGUUUUCACCGUCCAUCUUCCUCAGACGUGCAGCGAUUUGUUCAUUUUCCGCUGCCGAAUGAGCUAAAACACAUCACUUCUUUCCAUUCUAUAAAUUACAACGAUAGUUUGAGUUCCGUGUAAUCCUCUUUGACAAUUGGCAAUCCCGGAGAUACGCUCACAGCUGCCUGGCACUAGCUAUCAGUCUUCCUCUUCCUUGCUUUGUUCCUCGUGUCACAUCUCGAUGCCAGUUGCAUCUGUCUCUGUCUCUCGCUCUCGCUCUUUUCUUUUCAAAAUAUUUUCCCACCUGUCAUGUCACAGCUACUGUUUAUUUAGAUUAGUCAAACAUUGUACAUGUUCAGUUGACACAGCUAUAUGAUCUCGAAUGGGUACACUGCAAAUUAUACACAUGUGACCACUCGGUAUGUCACAGCUUCUUAUGUUUUUUGAUUGAGCAAAAGGGAAAACACUCGGUUGCCUAAGCAAGAAACGAAAACAAGCAUGAGUUUCCUGUUCCAUGGUCUCAUCUUCAGCAGAGAGGACGUGCCGUGGCAGUGACUUCAACCGAGAAACACAAUACCCACAUUUGUUCCAAUGACAACAAAUUCUCUUUGGCUUUCAAAAUCAAGGUGGUUUGCGUUUGAUAAAUGACAAGCUACAUCUGGGCCCCUCUCGCUUGUCUCUUUCGGUUUUGGCAAAGACAAAAAAUAAACGUCCCCAGAGAUCAUUAAAAAGGGAAGAUUCAAUUAGUCUGCUUUGCGUUACUUGAAAUUCUAUGAGGCCGUGUUGUCUUCAAACUACUUCUUCAGAGUCAUGAAAUACCAGACUGGGGAAAUAGCCUUUUGAUUCUGUGCUGAGCGAAAUCCAUCAUUUAAAAAAAAAAUCAUUACAAAAAACAACAAAA
Long non-coding RNA from Hippocampus zosterae (dwarf seahorse), 2403 nucleotides. RefSeq lists it as uncharacterized. The transcript has 2 exons. Lineage: Eukaryota; Metazoa; Chordata; Actinopteri; Syngnathiformes; Syngnathidae. The record is from RefSeq and is a predicted model, not a curated record.